GACGAACGCUGGCGGCGUGCUUAACACAUGCAAGUCGAACGGAAAGGCCCUGCUUUUGUGGGGUGCUCGAGUGGCGAACGGGUGAGUAACACGUGAGUAACCUGCCCUUGACUUUGGGAUAACUUCAGGAAACUGGGGCUAAUACCGGAUAGGAGCUCCUGCUGCAUGGUGGGGGUUGGAAAGUUUCGGCGGUUGGGGAUGGACUCGCGGCUUAUCAGCUUGUUGGUGGGGUAGUGGCUUACCAAGGCUUUGACGGGUAGCCGGCCUGAGAGGGUGACCGGCCACAUUGCGACUGAGCUACGGCCCAGACUCCUACGGGAGGCAGCAGUGGGGAAUAUUGUACAAUGGGAGGAAGCCUGCCCCAGCAACGCCGCGUGGGGGAUGACGGCCUUCGGGUUGUAAACCGCUUUCGCCUGUGACGAAGCGUGAGUGACGGUACUGGGUAAAGAAGCACCGGCUAACUACGUG
RNAcentral lists this ribosomal RNA (468 nucleotides) under uncultured bacterium. Its description in RNAcentral is "partial 16S ribosomal RNA". It matches the Rfam family "Bacterial small subunit ribosomal RNA", at positions 28 to 507 of the family's 1533-position model. The record is from RNAcentral.